GACUCACGCGGGAAUCUUACCGGGUCCGGACACACUGAGGAUUGACAGAUAUACGCUCAUUGCAGUUCGCUGCAUUGGGCUGAAAGAUGCUAGUUCUUUCAUGAUUAUGUGAUAGGUGGUGCAUGGCCGUUCUUAGUUCGUGGAGUGAUCUGUCUGCUUAAUUGCGUAUCAAUAAUAGAGACCUAGUAUACGCGUGGAUUUCGUGUGGUAGUGACCCCCCGUUCGCGCAGGCGUGUGUCGCGCACGCGUGCCGCGCACUGGUCUCAGAUAGCAACGAACGUGACCGUAUUCUAUUGUUGCAGUGAAAUGUACUUUCGAGUACGACCCACUGCUUAGUAUAUGCACGUGCUUCGGUGCGAGCAAUAUACAUUAAACUAUAGAGACCGCUGUUUCUUCUUUAAACCAGAGGAAGGAUACGGCAAUAACAGGUCUGUGAUGCCCUCAGAUGUUCCGGGCUGCACACGUGCUACAAUGAUCAUUGCACUGUGCAUCUAACCCAAUGUGCGUGGACGCCGCAUGCAUGUACUCCUUGUGGGUACACGCAUUGCUGAGCGACCACGCCGAACCUACUUCGAAAGUAAAAUUUCUCUGUGGGUAAUCCAUUAGAAGUAAUGACUCGCAUAGACCAUGGCACACCAAAUGUACGCGCAGGCCUACCCGGCUCGCCUUUGUGUGAGUGCAGUGCGUAGCUUGUUGUUUCGUACGUGCCACUCCGUAUUAAUUCGUACGUGGGGAUAGAUCAUUGUUUAAUUGUUGGUCUCGGUCUUAACUAGGAAUGCCUUGUACGGGUCUCUGGUUCAACAUACCA
RNAcentral lists this ribosomal RNA (808 nucleotides) under Ammonia sp. T2B. RNAcentral describes it as "SSU rRNA". It matches the Rfam family "Eukaryotic small subunit ribosomal RNA", at positions 1197 to 1638 of the family's 1831-position model. The record is from RNAcentral. Lineage: Eukaryota; Foraminifera; Rotaliida; Rotaliidae.